UACGUAGGGGGCAAGCGUUGUCCGGAUUCAUUGGGCGUAAAGAGCUCGUAGGCGGUUUGAUAAGUCGGGUGUGAAACCUCCAGGCUCAACCUGGAGACGCCACCCGAUACUGUCGUGACUAGAGUCCAGUAGGGGAGCGUGGAAUUCCUGGUGUAGCGGUGAAAUGCGCAGAUAUCAGGAGGAACACCAGCGGCGAAGGCGGCGCUCUGGGCUGGCACUGACGCUGAGGAGCGAAAGCGUGGGGAGCGAACAGG
This 254-nucleotide ribosomal RNA is filed under the name uncultured bacterium. RNAcentral describes it as "partial 16S ribosomal RNA". It matches the Rfam family "Bacterial small subunit ribosomal RNA", at positions 524 to 776 of the family's 1533-position model. The record is from RNAcentral.